CCUACGGGAGGCAGCAGUGAGGAAUAUUGGACAAUGGGCGCAAGCCUGAUCCAGCCAUGCCGCGUGCAGGAUGAAGCAUCUAUGGUGUGUAAACUGCUUUUGUACGAGAAGAAACACUGCUUCGUGAAGCAGCUUGACGGUAUCGUAAGAAUAAGGAUCGGCUAACUCCGUGCCAGCAGCCGCGGUAAUACGGAGGAUCCAAGCGUUAUCCGGAAUCAUUGGGUUUAAAGGGUCCGUAGGCGGCCUUAUAAGUCAGUGGUGAAAUCUCACGGCUCAACUGUGAAAUGGCCAUUGAUACUGUAGGGCUUGAAUUAUUAGGAAGUAACUAGAAUAUGUAGUGUAGCGGUGAAAUGCUUAGAGAUUACAUGGAAUACCAAUUGCGAAGGCAGGUUACUACUAAUGGAUUGACGCUGAUGGACGAAAGCGUGGGUAGCGAACAGGAUUAGAUACCCUGGUAGUCCACGCCGUAAACGAUGGAUACUAGCUGUUGGGGGUCAACCUCAGUGGCUAAGCGAAAGUGAUAAGUAUCCCACCUGGGGAGUACGUUCGCAAGAUGAAACUCAAAGGAAUUGACGG
RNAcentral lists this ribosomal RNA (576 nucleotides) under uncultured bacterium. RNAcentral's name for it is "bacterial SSU rRNA". It matches the Rfam family "Bacterial small subunit ribosomal RNA", at positions 338 to 916 of the family's 1533-position model. The record is from RNAcentral.